RNAcentral lists this ribosomal RNA (547 nucleotides) under uncultured Gammaproteobacteria bacterium. Its description in RNAcentral is "bacterial SSU rRNA". The stretch from base 1 to 422 matches the Rfam family "Bacterial small subunit ribosomal RNA", at positions 120 to 545 of the family's 1533-position model. The record is from RNAcentral. Lineage: Bacteria; Pseudomonadati; Pseudomonadota; Gammaproteobacteria.
GGGAUCUGCCCGAUGAGGGGGAUAACCACUAGAAACGGUGGCUGAUACCGCAUACCUCUUUGGAGUAAAGUGGGGGACCUUCGGGCCUCACGCCAUCGGAUGAACCCAGAUGGGAUUAGCUAGUAGUGGGGUAAUGGCUCACCUAGGCGACGAUCCCUAGCUGGUCUGAGAGGAUGACCAGCCACACUGGGACUGAGACACGGCCCAGACUCCUACGGGAGGCAGCAGUGGGGAAUAUUGCACAAUGGGCGCAAGCCUGAUGCAGCCAUGCCGCGUGUAUGAAGAAGGCCUUCGGGUUGUAAAGUACUUUCAGCGGGGAGGAAGGCAACAGCGUGAAUAGCGCUGUUGAUUGACGUUACCCGCAGAAGAAGCACCGGCUAACUCCGUGCCAGCAGCCGCGGUAAUACGGUAUUACCGCGGCUGCUGGACGAAGUGGACGAGGCGCUGGCGCUGGGCCACAAGGUGAAACCUGUGCUGCUGGGGCCGGUUACCUGGCUGUGGCUGGGGAAAGUGAAGGUGAACAAUUUGCCGCCUGAGCCAUGAUCAA